Molecule: ribosomal RNA, 516 nt
Filed under: uncultured bacterium
Lineage: Bacteria
Description: bacterial SSU rRNA
Rfam family: Bacterial small subunit ribosomal RNA
Source: RNAcentral
GAUGAACGCUAGCGAUAGGCCUAACACAUGCAAGUCGAGGGGCAUCACAUGAAGUAGCAAUACGGAUGGUGGCGACCGGCGCACGGGUGAGUAACACGUAUGCAACCUGCCUUCAACAAGGGGAUAACCCGUUGAAAGACGGACUAAUACCCUAUAACACAGGGGUCCCGCAUGGGAAUAUUUGUUAAAGGACAACCGGUUGAAGAUGGGCAUGCGUUCCAUUAGCUAGUUGGCGGGGUAACGGCCCACCAAGGCAACGAUGGAUAGGGGAACUGAGAGGUUUAUCCCCCACACUGGUACUGAGACACGGACCAGACUCCUACGGGAGGCAGCAGUGAGGAAUAUUGGUCAAUGGACGCAAGUCUGAACCAGCCACGUCGCGUGAAGGAAGACGGCCCUACGGGUUGUAAACUUCUUUUAUACGGGAAUAAAGUGCCCCACGCGUGGGGUUUUGCAUGUACCGUAUGAAUAAGGAUCGGCUAACUCCGUGCCAGCAGCCGCGUAAUUCACACUACA